GUGACCCUACGGGACGCAGCAGUAGGGAAUCUUCCACAAUUGGCGAAAGCCUGAUGGAGCAACGCCGCGUGGGUGAAGAAGGUCUUCGGAUCGUAAAACCCUGUUGUUAGAGAAGAAAGUGCGUGAGAGUAACUGUUCACGUUUCGACGGUAUCUAACCAGAGAGCCACGGCUAACUACGUGCCAGCAGCCGCGGUAAUACGUAGGUGGCAAGCGUUAUCCGGAUUUAUUGGGCGUAAAGAGAACGCAGGCGGUCUUUUAAGUCUGAUGUGAAAGCCUUCGGCUUAACCGGAGUAGUGCAUUGGG
This 305-nucleotide ribosomal RNA is filed under the name uncultured bacterium. RNAcentral describes it as "bacterial SSU rRNA". It matches the Rfam family "Bacterial small subunit ribosomal RNA", at positions 333 to 630 of the family's 1533-position model. The record is from RNAcentral.